Molecule: ribosomal RNA, 425 nt
Filed under: uncultured bacterium
Lineage: Bacteria
Description: partial 16S ribosomal RNA
Rfam family: Bacterial small subunit ribosomal RNA
Source: RNAcentral
GUGGGGAAUCUUGCGCAAUGGGCGAAAGCCUGACGCAGCCAUGCCGCGUGAAUGAUGAAGGUCUUAGGAUUGUAAAAUUCUUUCACCGGGGACGAUAAUGACGGUACCCGGAGAAGAAGCCCCGGCUAACUUCGUGCCAGCAGCCGCGGUAAUACGAAGGGGGCUAGCGUUGCUCGGAAUUACUGGGCGUAAAGGGCGCGUAGGCGGACAGUUUAGUCAGAGGUGAAAGCCCAGGGCUCAAACUUGGAAUUGCCUUUGAUACUGGCUGUCUUGAGUACGGGAGAGGUGAGUGGAACUCCGAGUGUAGAGGUGAAAUUCGUAGAUAUUCGGAAGAACACCAGUGGCGAAGGCGACUCACUGGCCCGUUACUGACGCUGAGGCGCGAAAGCGUGGGGAGCAAACAGGAUUAGAUACCCCGGUAGUCC